UUUUAUAAGUUUUUGAACGAUAUUUCUAUAAAAUAUAAAAACAUAUUACUUAUGUAUAAAAA
This 62-nucleotide transfer RNA is filed under the name Thor amboinensis. Its description in RNAcentral is "tRNA-Pro". Lineage: Eukaryota; Metazoa; Arthropoda; Malacostraca; Decapoda; Hippolytidae. The record is from RNAcentral.